UGAGGAAUAUUGGGCAAUGGGCGCAAGCCUGACCCAGCCAUGCCGCGUGAAGGAUGAAUGCCCUAUGGGUUGUAAACUUCUUUUUUACGGGAAGAAACUCUCGGACGUGUCCGGGAUUGACGGUACCGUAUGAAUAAGCAUCGGCUAACUCCGUGCCAGCAGCCGCGGUAAUACGGAGGAUGCAAGCGUUAUCCGGAUUUAUUGGGUUUAAAGGGUGCGUAGGCGGAAUAAUAAGUCAGUGGUGAAAGCCUGUAGCUUAACUAUAGAAUUGCCAUUGAUACUGUCAUUCUUGAGUACAGUUGAGGUAGGCGGAAUGUGUAAUGUAGCGGUGAAAUGCUUAGAUAUUACACAGAACACCGAUUGCGAAGGCAGCUUACUAAGCUGGUACUGACGCUGAGGCACGAAGCGUGGGGAGCAAACAGGAUUAGAUACCCUGGUAGUCCACGCUAGUAAACGAUGAUCACUCGUUGUUGG
Molecule: ribosomal RNA, 474 nt
Filed under: uncultured Bacteroidota bacterium
Lineage: Bacteria; Pseudomonadati; Bacteroidota
Description: bacterial SSU rRNA
Rfam family: Bacterial small subunit ribosomal RNA
Source: RNAcentral